Molecule: long non-coding RNA, 798 nt
Organism: Ananas comosus (pineapple)
Lineage: Eukaryota; Viridiplantae; Streptophyta; Magnoliopsida; Poales; Bromeliaceae
Exons: 3
Source: RefSeq, a predicted model, not a curated record
UGCAUACGUCUUGGACUACUCUCUCUCUAUCAUUUCUUAUUUCUUUUCCUCUUCUUUCCUUCUCUCUCUCUAAACCAAACAAAGGAGUUUUUUAGGGGAUUUGAAGGAGAACGCAGCGGAGUUCGCGUUCUUGGCUGUGAGGAAAAUUGUGAGCAAGGAAAAGUGGUGUACUCUCUCAACUCUCCUCUCUCUUUUGUUUUAUUCCUCUUCUCCCUCUCUAUGAACCCUAUGUCGAGGGAGUUUGUGUAAGAGUAGUGUGGAAUUGAGCUCUUCGCUGGAAGUAGGUGCAGAAGCUGAUUUGCUUUGGUGGAAAGUACCACUGGAGGAAGGUUCAUCUUAUUCUCUACUAGGAAUUGAGGAUUGAGGUUCUCGCUUGGAAUUGAUUGCGUAUAAACCUAAUUGAGGGCAAAGCGAACACGUUAGAAAGCUCGGAUCAACGUUCCGACGAGCCUACGGCAAGCUAAUGAGGAAAACCUCAAUUUAACUCAAGUUGUUACGCACAAGGAUUGUGAUUGUUCGUAAAGUACGGGAAGUGGAAUUCCGGCAUUACGAUAACAAGUAAAGGUUUACACGUGAGUGGCGCAACGGCGCGAGAAAAGGACGUAGCUCCGUAGAUAGCGCCCUGCCACAGAGACCAGAGAUAGUAGUACCUGAAGUGGUCUAGCUAAGAGUAUAAAAUGAAAGAUCGAAAUUAUUGUAAAUUGUAUACCAUAGUAGUACUUGUAAAGUGUCAUGUAAAGUAAAACUGAGAUGAAUAUUUAUAAUAGUUUAGUAAUUAUGUUUUUGAUACUUAUGCAA